Molecule: ribosomal RNA, 459 nt
Filed under: uncultured bacterium
Lineage: Bacteria
Description: partial 16S ribosomal RNA
Rfam family: Bacterial small subunit ribosomal RNA
Source: RNAcentral
CCUACGGGAGGCAGCAGUGAGGAAUAUUCGUCAAUGGGCGGGAGCCUGAACCAGCCAAGCCGCGUGAGGGAAGAAGGUACAGCGUAUCGUAAACCUCUUUUGUCAGGGAACAAAGGCGGGGACGAGUCCCGGGAUGAGGGUACCUGAAUAAAAAGCAUCGGCUAACUCUUUUCCAGCAGCCGCGGUAACACGGAGGAUGCGAGCGUUAUCCGGAUUUAUUGGGUUUAAAGGGUGCGCAGGCGGCCUGGUAAGUCAGCGGUAAAAGCCCGGGGCUCAACCGCGGCCAGCCGUUGAAACUGGCGGGCUGGAGUUGGAGAGAGGUACGCGGAAUGCGCGAUGUAGCGGUGAAAUGCUUAGAUAUCGGGCAGAACCCCGAUUGCGAAGGCGGCGUUCCGGCUCCACACUGACGCUGAGGCACGAAAGCGUGGGUAUCGAACAGGAUUAGAUACCCCUGUAGUC